UACGUAGGGGGCUAGCGUUGUCCGGAAUCAUUGGGCGUAAAGCGCGUGUAGGCGGCCCGGUAAGUCCGCUGUGAAAGUCGGGGGCUCAACCCUCGGAUGCCGGUGGAUACUGUCGGGCUCGAGUACGGAAGAGGCGAGUGGAAUUCCUGGUGUAGCGGUGAAAUGCGCAGAUAUCAGGAGGAACACCAAUUGCGAAGGCAGCUCGCUGGGACGUUACUGACGCUGAGACGCGAAAGCGUGGGUAGCAAACAGG
RNAcentral lists this ribosomal RNA (253 nucleotides) under uncultured bacterium. Its description in RNAcentral is "partial 16S ribosomal RNA". It matches the Rfam family "Bacterial small subunit ribosomal RNA", at positions 524 to 776 of the family's 1533-position model. The record is from RNAcentral.